Molecule: unclassified non-coding RNA, 228 nt
Filed under: rhizosphere metagenome
Description: partial ribosomal RNA internal transcribed spacer region
Source: RNAcentral
GUAGGUGAACCUGCGGAAGGAUCAUUAGUGAAUAUUAGGGUGCUCUUUUCUGCGGAAGCGAUUAGAGGCCUGACCUCCACUAUCCAACUCUGUGCACUAUAGCGAGUAUGUCAACCUUGGGGUUUAUUCCCCAAGUCCUACUUGCAAACCUUUUUUUAACACUAGUCAAAGAAUGUAAACCAAAUCAUAACAAAAAAAAAACUUUCAACAACGGAUCUCUUGGCUCUC